RNAcentral lists this ribosomal RNA (337 nucleotides) under uncultured Ruminococcus sp. Its description in RNAcentral is "bacterial SSU rRNA". It matches the Rfam family "Bacterial small subunit ribosomal RNA", at positions 8 to 339 of the family's 1533-position model. Lineage: Bacteria; Bacillati; Bacillota; Clostridia; Eubacteriales; Oscillospiraceae. The record is from RNAcentral.
AGAGUUUGAUCAUGGCUCGAGGACGAACGCUGGCGGCACGCCUAACACAUGCAAGUCGAACGGAGAUAAUUUGAGUUUACUUGGAUUAUCUUAGUGGCGGACGGGUGAGUAACACGUGAGCAACCUGCCUUUGAGAGAGGGAUAGCUUCUGGAAACGGAUGGUAAUACCUCAUAACAUAGAGAUAGGGCAUCCUAUUUUUAUCAAAGAUUUAUCACUCAAAGAUGGGCUCGCGUCUGAUUAGAUAGUUGGUGAGGUAACGGCUCACCAAGUCGAUGAUCAGUAGCCGGACUGAGAGAUUGAACGGCCACAUUGGGACUGAGACACGGCCCAGACUCC